UACGUAGGGGGCAAGCGUUAUCCGGAUUUACUGGGUGUAAAGGGAGCGUAGACGGCUUUGCAAGCCAGAUGUGAAAGCCCGGGGCUCGACCCCGGGACUGCAUUUGGAACUGUAUGGCUGGAGUGUCGGAGAGGCAGGCGGAAUUCCUAGUGUAGCGGUGAAAUGCGUAGAUAUUAGGAGGAACACCAGUGGCGAAGGCGGCCUGCUGGACGAUGACUGACGUUGAGGCUCGAAAGCGUGGGGAGCAAACAGG
This 253-nucleotide ribosomal RNA is filed under the name uncultured bacterium. RNAcentral describes it as "partial 16S ribosomal RNA". It matches the Rfam family "Bacterial small subunit ribosomal RNA", at positions 524 to 776 of the family's 1533-position model. The record is from RNAcentral.